RNAcentral lists this ribosomal RNA (495 nucleotides) under uncultured bacterium. RNAcentral's name for it is "partial 16S ribosomal RNA". It matches the Rfam family "Bacterial small subunit ribosomal RNA", at positions 29 to 506 of the family's 1533-position model. The record is from RNAcentral.
AUGAACGCUGGCGGCGUGCCUAAUACAUGCAAGUCGAGCGAACGGACGAGAAGCUUGCUUCUCUGAUGUUAGCGGCGGACGGGUGAGUAACACGUGGAUAACCUACCUAUAAGACUGGGAUAACUUCGGGAAACCGGAGCUAAUACCGGAUAAUAUUUUGAACCGCAUGGUUCAAAAGUGAAAGACGGUCUUGCUGUCACUUAUAGAUGGAUCCGCGCUGCAUUAGCUAGUUGGUAAGGUAACGGCUUACCAAGGCAACGAUACAUAGCCGACCUGAGAGGGUGAUCGGCCACACUGGAACUGAGACACGGUCCAGACUCCUACGGGAGGCAGCAGUAGGGAAUCUUCCGCAGUGGGCGAAAGCCUGACGGAGCAACGCCGCGUGAGUGAUGAAGGUCUUCGGAUCGUAAAACUCUGUUAUUAGGGAAGAACAUAUGUGUAAGUAACUGUGCACAUCUUGACGGUACCUAAUCAGAAAGCCACGGCUAACUACGU